UACCAGUACCCCGAGUGGUCGGGACGUUUAUUGGGCCUAAAGCAUCCGUAGCCGGUUCUACAAGUCUUCCGUUAAAUCCACCUGCUUAACAGAUGGGCUGCGGAAGAUACUAUAGAGCUAGGAGGCGGGAGAGGCAAGCGGUACUCGAUGGGUAGGGGUAAAAUCCGUUGAUCCAUUGAAGACCACCAGUGGCGAAGGCGGCUUGCCAGAACGCGCUCGACGGUGAGGGAUGAAAGCUGGGGGAGCAAACCGG
RNAcentral lists this ribosomal RNA (253 nucleotides) under uncultured bacterium. RNAcentral describes it as "partial 16S ribosomal RNA". It matches the Rfam family "Archaeal small subunit ribosomal RNA", at positions 474 to 727 of the family's 1478-position model. The record is from RNAcentral.